CCUACGGGGGGCAGCAGUGGGGAAUAUUGCGCAAUGGGGGCAACCCUGACGCAGCAACGCCGCGUGAUUGAAGACGGCCUUCGGGUUGUAAAGAUCUUUAAUCGGGGACGAAUUUUGACGGUACCCGAAGAAUAAGCUCCGGCUAACUACGUGCCAGCAGCCGCGGUAAUACGUAGGGAGCAAGCGUUAUCCGGAUUUACUGGGUGUAAAGGGCGUGUAGGCGGGCAUGCAAUCCAGAAGUGAAAUCUGGGGGCUUAACUCCGGGACUGCUUUUGAAACUGUAUGGCUAGAUUGCAGGAGAGGCAAGUGGAAUUCCUAGUGUAGCGGUGGAAUGCGUAGAUAUAUGGAAGAACACCAGUGGCGAAGGCGGCUCUCUGGUCUGCAACUGACGCUGAGGCUCGAAAGCAUGGGUAGCGAACAGGAUUAGAUACCCCAGUAGUC
RNAcentral lists this ribosomal RNA (441 nucleotides) under uncultured bacterium. RNAcentral describes it as "partial 16S ribosomal RNA". It matches the Rfam family "Bacterial small subunit ribosomal RNA", at positions 338 to 795 of the family's 1533-position model. The record is from RNAcentral.